GAGCGGCGAACGGGUGAGUAACACGUGGGUGAUCUGCCUCGUACUCUGGGAUAAGCCUGGGAAACUGGGUCUAAUACCGGAUAGGACUACCGGAUGCAUGUCUGGUGGUGGAAAGAUUUAUCGGUGCGAGAUGGGCCCGCGGCCUAUCAGCUUGUUGGUGGGGUAACGGCCUACCAAGGCGACGACGGGUAGCCGACCUGAGAGGGUGACCGGCCACACUGGGACUGAGACACGGCCCAGACUCCUACGGGAGGCAGCAGUGGGGAAUAUUGCACAAUGGGCGGAAGCCUGAUGCAGCGACGCCGCGUGAGGGAUGACGGCCUUCGGGUUGUAAACCUCUUUCGACAGGGACGAAGCGCAAGUGACGGUACCUGUAUAAGAAGCACCGGCCAACUACGUGCCAGCAGCCGCGGUAAUACGUAGGGUGCGAGCGUUGUCCGGAAUUACUGGGCGUAAAGAGCUUGUAGGCGGUUCGUCGCGUCGAUUGUGAAAACUUGCAGCUCAACUGCAAGCUUGCAGUCGAUACGGGCGGACUAGAGUACUUCAGGGGAGACUGGAAUUCCU
This 564-nucleotide ribosomal RNA is filed under the name Nocardia sp. 410F01. RNAcentral describes it as "bacterial SSU rRNA". It matches the Rfam family "Bacterial small subunit ribosomal RNA", at positions 93 to 671 of the family's 1533-position model. Lineage: Bacteria; Bacillati; Actinomycetota; Actinomycetes; Mycobacteriales; Nocardiaceae. RNAcentral also lists the same sequence under 1 other name. The record is from RNAcentral.